GAUGAACGCUGGCGGCGUGCCUAAUACAUGCAAGUCGAGCGAACAGACGAGGAGCUUGCUCCUCUGACGUUAGCGGCGGACGGGUGAGUAACACGUGGAUAACCUACCUAUAAGACUGGGAUAACUUCGGGAAACCGGAGCUAAUACCGGAUAAUAUAUUGAACCGCAUGGUUCAAUAGUGAAAGACGGUUUUGCUGUCACUUAUAGAUGGAUCCGCGCCGCAUUAGCUAGUUGGUAAGGUAACGGCUUACCAAGGCGACGAUGCGUAGCCGACCUGAGAGGGUGAUCGGCCACACUGGAACUGAGACACGGUCCAGACUCCUACGGGAGGCAGCAGUAGGGAAUCUUCCGCAAUGGGCGAAAGCCUGACGGAGCAACGCCGCGUGAGUGAUGAAGGUCUUCGGAUCGUAAAGCUCUGUUAUUAGGGAAGAACAAAUGUGUAAGUAACUAUGCACGUCUUGACGGUACCUAAUCAGAAAGCAACGGCUAACUACGUG
Molecule: ribosomal RNA, 497 nt
Filed under: uncultured bacterium
Lineage: Bacteria
Description: partial 16S ribosomal RNA
Rfam family: Bacterial small subunit ribosomal RNA
Source: RNAcentral